UACGUAGGGUGCGAGCGUUGUCCGGAAUUAUUGGGCGUAAAGAGCUUGUAGGCGGUUUGUCGCGUCUGCCGUGAAAAUCCGGGGCUCAACCCCGGACUUGCGGUGGGUACGGGCAGACUAGAGUGUGGUAGGGGAGACUGGAAUUCCUGGUGUAGCGGUGAAAUGCGCAGAUAUCAGGAGGAACACCAAUGGCGAAGGCAGCUCGCUGGAACGGUACUGACGCUGAGGCGCGAAAGCGUGGGGAGCAAACAGG
Molecule: ribosomal RNA, 253 nt
Filed under: uncultured bacterium
Lineage: Bacteria
Description: partial 16S ribosomal RNA
Rfam family: Bacterial small subunit ribosomal RNA
Source: RNAcentral